Molecule: ribosomal RNA, 492 nt
Filed under: uncultured bacterium
Lineage: Bacteria
Description: partial 16S ribosomal RNA
Rfam family: Bacterial small subunit ribosomal RNA
Source: RNAcentral
AGUGAACGCUGGCGGUAGGCCUAACACAUGCAAGUCGAACGGCAGCACAGUAAGAGCUUGCUCUUACGGGUGGCGAGUGGCGGACGGGUGAGGAAUACAUCGGAAUCUACUUUUUCGUGGGGGAUAACGUAGGGAAACUUACGCUAAUACCGCAUACGACCUACGGGUGAAAGCAGGGGAUCUUCGGACCUUGCGCGAUUGAAUGAGCCGAUGUCGGAUUAGCUAGUUGGCGGGGUAAAGGCCCACCAAGGCGACGAUCCGUAGCUGGUCUGAGAGGAUGAUCAGCCACACUGGAACUGAGACACGGUCCAGACUCCUACGGGAGGCAGCAGUGGGGAAUAUUGGACAAUGGGCGCGAGCCUGAUACAGCCAUACCGCGUGGGUGAAGAAGGCCUUCGGGUUGUAAAGCCCUUUUGUUGGGAAAGAAAAGCAGCAGGUUAAUACCCCGCUGUUCUGACGGUACCCAAAGAAUAAGCACCGGCUAACUUCGUG